This 384-nucleotide long non-coding RNA is filed under the name Equus caballus (horse). Its description in RNAcentral is "lncRNA (ENSECAG00000059986.1)". Lineage: Eukaryota; Metazoa; Chordata; Mammalia; Perissodactyla; Equidae. The record is from RNAcentral.
CCAGGCUUAUGAAACCAACACAGGUACCAUCCGAAUAACAUCCAGUGUCCCCAGUUGAGAAAAGGCCUGGGCGUCCUGGGACGGUAUCAACAUUUGAAAGGAAGCCAGGCUCACAGAUUUUACCUAAAAACCAGGGAUUUCAAGAAGUAUGAUCAGAAGUGGUGAUGUUGACAAUCUGGCUGGUACCGAAGACCCUUUUUAUAGACAAAUCACAGCAAACUGUACCCAACUGACAUUGAUCCAGCUGCCCCCAAGACUGAUGUAAUCACUGGCGGCAGAACGUGAGAAGGGUCCUAGUGAGAGCAAGCUCUAUGUUCCCAUGCUUUGCAGUUUGAAUCAUUCCUCAGCGCUCUGGUCUCAGCCUAUUCUGGUACUUAUGACGAG